This 835-nucleotide ribosomal RNA is filed under the name Haptophyta environmental samples. Its description in RNAcentral is "bacterial SSU rRNA". It matches the Rfam family "Bacterial small subunit ribosomal RNA", at positions 481 to 1325 of the family's 1533-position model. Lineage: Eukaryota; Haptophyta. The record is from RNAcentral.
GAGGAAUAAGCAUCGGCUAACUCCGUGCCAGCAGCCGCGGUAAUACGGGGGAUGCAAGCGUUAUCCGGAAUCAUUGGGCGUAAAGCGCCUGUAGGUGGUUUAAUAAGUCUGUUGUUAAAGACUAGGGCUUAACCCUAGGAAAGCAAUGGAAACUAAUAGACUAGAGUAUGGCAGGGGUAGAGGGAAUUUCUAGUGUAGCGGUGAAAUGCGUAGAUAUUAGAAAGAACACCAGUGGCGAAAGCGCUCUACUGGACCAUUACUGACACUCAGAGGCGAAAGCUAGGGUAGCAAAAGGGAUUAGAUACCCCUGUAGUCCUAGCCGUAAACGAUGGAUACUAGAUGUUGUGUUUUCUCACAGUGUCGCAGCUAACGCGUUAAGUAUCCCGCCUGGGGAGUACGCUCGCAAGGGUGAAACUCAAAGGAAUUGACGGGGGCCCGCACAAGCGGUGGAGCAUGUGGUUUAAUUCGAUGCAACGCGAAGAACCUUACCAGGGCUUGACAUACUGCAGAUCUUUUUGAGAAAGAAGAGUGCCUUCGGGAAUGCAGAUACAGGUGGUGCAUGGCUGUCGUCAGCUCGUGUCGUGAGAUGUUGGGUUAAGUCCCGCAACGAGCGCAACCCUUAUUUUUAGUUACCAACUUGUUGGGUUCUCUAGAAAGACUGCCGGUGACAAACCGGAGGAAGGUGAGGAUGACGUCAAGUCAGCAUGCCCCUUAUGUCCUGGGCUACACACGUGCUACAAUGGUUAAGACAAAGAGUCGCGAGUUCGUGAGAACCAGCUAAUCUCGUAAACUUAGCCUAAGUUCAGAUUGUAGGCUGCAACUCGCCUACGUGAAG